RNAcentral lists this transfer RNA (74 nucleotides) under Candidatus Magasanikiibacteriota bacterium. RNAcentral describes it as "tRNA-Val". It matches the Rfam family "tRNA". Rfam says of the family: Transfer RNA (tRNA) molecules are approximately 80 nucleotides in length. The record is from RNAcentral. Lineage: Bacteria; Candidatus Magasanikiibacteriota.
GGUCGUAUAGCUCAGUUGGUUAGAGCGUACGGUUCACAUCCGUAAGGCCUCUGGUUCAAAUCCAGAUACGACCA